This 28-nucleotide small RNA is filed under the name Bombyx mori (domestic silkworm). RNAcentral describes it as "piRNA piR-bmo-1435837". The record is from RNAcentral. Lineage: Eukaryota; Metazoa; Arthropoda; Insecta; Lepidoptera; Bombycidae.
UGACAGCAAAAUAUAUGAUAUAGGUAAC